UCCUGUUGUGUUGCCGGUCAGCACACAGAAAGAACAGGUCCCUUUUUCAGCUACACCAGCAAGUCUUCGGGCACAGCAGGGAGCUGUGGAGCGGGAGAAAAUGAACAUGGGAUUUGGUGUGUGAACAGCUCAUGGGGAAUGCGUAGAAGAAAAGGUUGUGUUGGGAGUAAAUGUUGACCUCUGCAAAGCUGAGGAAUGUCCAGCAGGUGGAUGGAGCUGACUCAAGGAGAAAGCUGAGCAGCCUUGGAUACUGAGCUCUGAUUGGUGAGUCUAGAGCUCCAGUGUCCAUCCAGGCCAUUCCACCGGGGGAGCACUGGGAUCCGAAUUGGAGGGCAGCUCAUCUGAACAUGGGGACCAAACUUGUUUCAGAAGUGGCUCACCCUGCUGUAAGUGGCUACAAAAUGGUUUUUGCUUUAACUCUUUCUUGCCUGAAAUGUUAAACUGCUACUGAUGACAACUUCUACAUGAACCUGACAACAAAAAGUAUCCAGAACAGCAUCUGCCUCAACACACACAGAGGGGAUCCCACCUCACCCAACUACAAUAUGGGAACCACAGAACCCAGACCAUCAUUAUCCCAGCUCUGCAGCCAUCUGACUUCCGCAGCGCCAGGACAGCAUCGAUUCCAGCCGGCUCCUACCCCCUCAUUCCCGAUCGGACUUCAAGCCCUCCGGGAAGGUCACCGGUCUGCAGGUCACCUUUCGGACGCCGCUCGUCGACGCAGGAGUCACAGAGAACGUGGAGACCAUCAAUGGGAUCAAGGAAUGGCCAGAGUUUAUUAGAUACAGUGCUCUUCUUAU
Long non-coding RNA from Melopsittacus undulatus (budgerigar), 800 nucleotides. RefSeq lists it as uncharacterized. Lineage: Eukaryota; Metazoa; Chordata; Aves; Psittaciformes; Psittaculidae. The record is from RefSeq and is a predicted model, not a curated record. The transcript is spliced from 3 exons.